Molecule: ribosomal RNA, 241 nt
Filed under: uncultured bacterium
Lineage: Bacteria
Description: partial 16S ribosomal RNA
Rfam family: Bacterial small subunit ribosomal RNA
Source: RNAcentral
UAGCGUUGUUCGGAAUUACUGGGCGUAAAGCGCACGUAGGCGGACUAUUAAGUCAGGGGUGAAAUCCCGGGGCUCAACCCCGGAACUGCCUUUGAUACUGGUAGUCUCGAGUCCGGAAGAGGUGAGUGGAAUUCCGAGUGUAGAGGUGAAAUUCGUAGAUAUUCGGAGGAACACCAGUGGCGAAGGCGGCUCACUGGUCCGGUACUGACGCUGAGGUGCGAAAGCGUGGGGAGCAAACAGG